UUUGUGUACGCGUGAAAUAGACAUUUGAGUAAAAAACCCGAAACCCAUCCUUAAGCGGAAGGAGAAAAGAGAAAGGACAACCAAGGACGCGGAAGAAGAAGCUUCUCCACCGGCUCUCUUCUACUUACAGCUCAGUUACUCUACCGUGUUUGUUCUCUGAUCGGAGUUGAUUCCGACGGUGUCGGAGAUGGAUCAAUUCGCUGUUGCAGCGUUAACGUGGACGAUCGCCGCAAGCCCCUGGAGUUUCUCAAGUCGCGGGUCGGACUUGAUUACGGAGCUACGGACUCGUUCUGGUGCGGUUGAUACCCUCUCCGGCGCUGAUUUGGACGGAUUCAGCGCCGAUUAUGUCCUCGAAUGCGUGAAAUCCGAUACGACGACACGAGGAACUAAAUCCAAGAUUCCAUGGUAGAACGACCUUGGAUAUACUCUGUAUCACUGGAAAAUCGUUUGAAGCAAUCCAGGAAGGAGGAUAGAGUCCGAAUCAGGAGAUUUCAUAUUCUCUCGUCUCGAAUCCAGAAUCCAGACAUGGCAGGAUCCCCUCCUAGGGGUAUGCCUCCCCCUCCAGUUAACGUGAAAAAAUGCCGGUGACAACGAGUCUUAUAAUGGUUCUACAUCCCGAGUCAUAGUUUCAAUCACUUCGUAUUCGUUCCUCCUUUACCAGAUUUGUCUUGCUGCCUUCCGCCAACUAAGUGGCUGAAUUGUUAUCUGGAUUUGCUUGGGUUUCAAAUCGGUUAUGUGAGAAUCCCACAUGCAAGUCCUGAUGUUGUCCUGUCCGCCCUUCUGUCAAAUUACAUUAGAUAUAGAAACAACAUCUGAUUCUAUCA
Long non-coding RNA from Tarenaya hassleriana, 824 nucleotides. RefSeq lists it as uncharacterized. The transcript is spliced from 3 exons. The record is from RefSeq and is a predicted model, not a curated record. Lineage: Eukaryota; Viridiplantae; Streptophyta; Magnoliopsida; Brassicales; Cleomaceae.